CUCACCAGGCACGGCGAUGGAAAGAGGUCCUAAAAUAAUUUACGAUAAUACGACGUAGCGACUUCUUAUCGAAUCUUCUCGAGAUACCUUUUUAGAAAGACAGAUCUCGAAUUAUCGAACGAUACGUUAGAGAGGGUAAAUACAAAAAUACCGAGGAUGAUUUACCGAUCGAGGAAACGUGCUCCGGUUUACCAGCGUACAUGGUCGCGUUGGCCAAUAACGGAGCUCUAUCUCUUGCAUUUAAUACGUAAGCUCGACCAGCGGCUUUAUCGUAAAUCGUCAUGAGAAAUCCACCGCCCAAACCCAAGCUCUGCAUGUUUACAAGACCGUUGCAGAUCAUAGAGGCGAUCGUUGCGUCUACCGCCGAGCCAUUUCUUUCCAAGAUAUUUCUGUUAUGGGGAAAAAAUAAAAGUAAGAUUAUUGU
This is a long non-coding RNA of Vespula pensylvanica (western yellowjacket), 424 nucleotides long. RefSeq lists it as uncharacterized. The record is from RefSeq and is a predicted model, not a curated record. The transcript has 2 exons. NCBI's taxonomy places the organism in Eukaryota, Metazoa, Arthropoda, Insecta, Hymenoptera, Vespidae.